AAAUAGUCGACCUAUUAGAAGUAAGAACUAGAAGUCAACAGAAGUUAUAUAGCAUUAGGAUAUAUUUGAUAGAAUUAGCUCAGCCCCUGAGGUGAAGAGCAGCUUCAGUUUCCAACAUCGAAUUCCAACCGAUGGUGAAGCUAGCAUCUUGAGAUUUUUGUGAAAUUGAAUAGUUUAUCUCAACUAUUGCAAAUCCAACGAAGGAAUGAACCUUGAACUUCUCAAGCAAGAUAGUGAUGGAGUUAGAUGAGACAUAAGAGAGAAUGUGGUGACAACAAUGAAGAUGGCAAGAGGGAGGGGACAAAUGGUGCA
Molecule: unclassified non-coding RNA, 312 nt
Filed under: Hevea brasiliensis (rubber tree)
Lineage: Eukaryota; Viridiplantae; Streptophyta; Magnoliopsida; Malpighiales; Euphorbiaceae
Source: RNAcentral